GGGCUAUAUACUCUAACUGCAUUGCUUUUUCUUGUGCAAAACAAACAUUUUGCUUUUUCCAGGGAUAAGAGCCUACUCUGGUGGCUGUGAAAGGCCCCAGUAGACCCCAGUCCCCGGAGGAAGGCAAGGUAGGCCAAGGAACAGGGGAGAUGGUCCCACCAAGGCACAGAGGGAUGGACUGACCAUGGGGAAAAAACACAGGGAUGAGGAAAGGGGAGCAGAGACUUGGGACAGUGACCUGUGUAUGAUUUUUAAGUUCUUCUGCAUUAAAGAAAAAAAAUGAGGUUCCUCUUGGCUCCUUGCCUGCUGUGGGAUUCGUAAGAGCCAGGUCUGAGCUUUGGCUGCCAGGCUGGGACAUCCUGAACCCCGUUGCUGCUGCCAUUUCUGUGGGGCUACGGGACUGAGAGCGACCACAGAGCCACCGGGGGGCCACGUGCCCUGCGCAGGACAGCUGUGCUGGAAGGCAGAGCACUCACCAGGAGCCGCCCCUGCUGCAGGCACCCCCAGAGACACGGCAUGUACGGGCUGAUGAAGAAGCCGUCAAUCUUGAUAUGGGAAGAAGAGGAGCCAGACACAUGCAGGUCACCCGGGAGAAAAACCUCUUACACAUGGAAAAGGGUUUUCAAGAGCCCAGCAAAGAGAGUGAUGACAAAAAGCUGGAAAAGCAGGCAGACAAGCCCUCCUUCAUGAAACAGGAAAGCAAGAGGGCAUCUUCUCCUUUUCCAGGUGAUAUGCGCCCUCUGUGUCGCUGUCCUCUUCUGCCCACUGAACUGUGCCCUGACUUCCCUGAAGAAGAGAGCUCUGCAGCUCCUUGUGCCCCUGAAGCCCAAAAACUGAGAGGUGGUCGCAAACAGUUUGGUUAUUUGUGGAAGUAUUUUUCCAGGAACCGAAGCUAAGCUGACAGGUCUGUAACUGCCAACCUGCCAUUUAGCACCACUUCUGUACCAACGAGCUCGAGCCCGCACCUCGUAGCACCGGGCUCUGCUCCAACAGACCACUUUAGCACGCACUUAAUUGCAAGAGAGAGAGACGUCUGUGGCUGCAGGGGGGAGGAGUCGCACGGCUAACGUUACACGUGUGCUUGGAUAUUCCUCCAGCUCCUAACCAUAGGCACACCAAGGAAGCCCCCCCAAACCAAGCCGAACAAAGACAAUACACGUCUUCAUACAGUGCUUAUGACUUUAUGAGUGCAAAUACCAAUAAAUAUCAAACAU
Molecule: long non-coding RNA, 1214 nt
Filed under: Anas platyrhynchos platyrhynchos (common mallard)
Lineage: Eukaryota; Metazoa; Chordata; Aves; Anseriformes; Anatidae
Description: lncRNA (ENSAPLG00000030554.1)
Source: RNAcentral